GAGAGGGCCCGCAUGCAAGAACUGCUAAUUCUAGCACCUAAGAUUGAACCCUUAGACCUCUUA
Molecule: transfer RNA, 63 nt
Filed under: Pseudopus apodus (scheltopusik)
Lineage: Eukaryota; Metazoa; Chordata; Lepidosauria; Squamata; Anguidae
Description: tRNA-Ser
Source: RNAcentral